Molecule: ribosomal RNA, 252 nt
Filed under: uncultured bacterium
Lineage: Bacteria
Description: partial 16S ribosomal RNA
Rfam family: Bacterial small subunit ribosomal RNA
Source: RNAcentral
ACGGAGGGAGCUAGCGUUGUUCGGAAUUACUGGGCGUAAAGCGCGCGUAGGCGGCUUUUUAAGUCAGGGGUGAAAUCCCGGAGCUCAACUCCGGAACUGCCCUUGAAACUGGGAAGCUAGAAUAUUGGAGAGGUAAGUGGAAUUCCGAGUGUAGAGGUGAAAUUCGUAGAUAUUCGGAAGAACACCAGUGGCGAAGGCGACUUACUGGACAAUUAUUGACGCUGAGGUGCGAAAGCGUGGGGAGCAAACAGG